AGAGUUUGAUCCUGGCUCAGGAUGAACGCUAGCUACAGGCUUUAACACAUGCAAGUCGAGGGGCAUCAGUUUUGGUUUUGCUUGCAAACCAAAGCUGGCGACCGGCGCACGGGUGAGUAACACGUAUCCAACCUGCCUCAUACUCGGGGAUAGCCUUUCGAAAGAAAGGUUAAUAUCCGAUAGCAUAUAUUUCCCGCAUGGGUUUUAUAUUAAAGAAAUUCGGUAUGAGAUGGGGAUGCGUUCCAUUAGUUUGUUGGCGGGGUAACGGCCCACCAAGACUACGAUGGAUAGGGGUUCUGAGAGGAAGGUCCCCCACAUUGGAACUGAGACACGGUCCAAACUCCUACGGGAGGCAGCA
This 358-nucleotide ribosomal RNA is filed under the name uncultured bacterium. Its description in RNAcentral is "bacterial SSU rRNA". It matches the Rfam family "Bacterial small subunit ribosomal RNA", at positions 8 to 353 of the family's 1533-position model. The record is from RNAcentral.